Molecule: ribosomal RNA, 563 nt
Filed under: Penicillium sp. x10
Lineage: Eukaryota; Fungi; Ascomycota; Eurotiomycetes; Eurotiales; Aspergillaceae
Description: eukaryotic LSU rRNA
Rfam family: 5.8S ribosomal RNA (bases 194-346)
Source: RNAcentral
CUGCGGAAGGAUCAUUACCGAGUGAGGGCCCUCUGGGUCCAACCUCCCACCCGUGUUUAUUUUACCUUGUUGCUUCGGCGGGCCCGCCUUAACUGGCCGCCGGGGGGCUUACGCCCCCGGGCCCGCGCCCGCCGAAGACACCCUCGAACUCUGUCUGAAGAUUGUAGUCUGAGUGAAAAUAUAAAUUAUUUAAAACUUUCAACAACGGAUCUCUUGGUUCCGGCAUCGAUGAAGAACGCAGCGAAAUGCGAUACGUAAUGUGAAUUGCAAAUUCAGUGAAUCAUCGAGUCUUUGAACGCACAUUGCGCCCCCUGGUAUUCCGGGGGGCAUGCCUGUCCGAGCGUCAUUGCUGCCCUCAAGCACGGCUUGUGUGUUGGGCCCCGUCCUCCGAUCCCGGGGGACGGGCCCGAAAGGCAGCGGCGGCACCGCGUCCGGUCCUCGAGCGUAUGGGGCUUUGUCACCCGCUCUGUAGGCCCGGCCGGCGCUUGCCGAUCAACCCAAAUUUUUAUCCAGGUUGACCUCGGAUCAGGUAGGGAUACCCGCUGAACUUAAGCAUAUCAAAA